Molecule: ribosomal RNA, 467 nt
Filed under: uncultured bacterium
Lineage: Bacteria
Description: SSU rRNA
Rfam family: Bacterial small subunit ribosomal RNA
Source: RNAcentral
AGGACUAACGCUGGCGGCGUGCCUAACACAUGCAAGUCGAACGGGGGUAGCAAUACCCCAGUGGCAGACGGGUGAGUAACACGUGGUCAACCUACCUCUGUGUGGGGGAUAACUAGCCGAAAGGUUAGCUAAUACCGCAUACGAUCGUUUUGAGGCAUCUCGAGACGAUGAAAGGAGCAAUCCGCACGGAGAGGGGACUGCGUCCCAUUAGUUAGUUGGUGGGGUAACGGCCUACCAAGACUCCGAUGGGUAGCUGGCUUGAGAGAGCGACCAGCCACACUGGAACUGAGACACGGUCCAGACUCCUACGGGAGGCAGCAGUGAGGAAUUUUCCGCAAUGGGCGAAAGCCUGACGGAGCGACGCCGCGUGUGGGAUGAAGGCCUUCGGGUCGUAAACCACUGUCGAAGGGGACGAUAUUGACGGUACCCUUGGAGGAAGCCCCGGCUAACUACGUGCCAGCAGCCGC